AAGUCGUAACAAGGUUUCCGUAGGUGAACCUGCGGAAGGAUCAUUAACACUUUUUAUUAUUUUGUUUUUUUUCUAAAACAAAAUUUAAAACCCCACAAUUUUGGAUGAAUUUAAUUAAUUUAUUUUUUAUUUUAUUUUUUUUAUUAUAACCCUAUUAUUUGACUAACAUUUUUAUUUAAUUAUUAAAAAUUAAAAAAACAACUCUUAACAACGGAUAUCUUGGCUCUCG
This 229-nucleotide unclassified non-coding RNA is filed under the name fungal sp. Its description in RNAcentral is "partial internal transcribed spacer region". The stretch from base 1 to 46 matches the Rfam family "Eukaryotic small subunit ribosomal RNA", at positions 1786 to 1831 of the family's 1831-position model. Lineage: Eukaryota; Fungi. The record is from RNAcentral.